This 244-nucleotide ribosomal RNA is filed under the name uncultured Actinomycetales bacterium. RNAcentral describes it as "partial 16S ribosomal RNA". It matches the Rfam family "Bacterial small subunit ribosomal RNA", at positions 89 to 334 of the family's 1533-position model. The record is from RNAcentral. Lineage: Bacteria; Bacillati; Actinomycetota; Actinomycetes; Actinomycetales.
GCUCGAGUGGCGAACGGGUGAGUAACACGUGAGUAACCUGCCCUUGACUUUGGGAUAACUUCAGGAAACUGGGGCUAAUACCGGAUAGGAGCUCCUGCUGCAUGGUGGGGGUUGGAAAGUUUCGGCGGUUGGGGAUGGACUCGCGGCUUAUCAGCUUGUUGGUGGGGUAAUGGCCUACCAAGGCGGCGACGGGUAGCCGGCCUGAGAGGGUGUACGGCCACACUGGGACUGAGAUACGGCCCAG